This 253-nucleotide ribosomal RNA is filed under the name uncultured bacterium. RNAcentral's name for it is "partial 16S ribosomal RNA". It matches the Rfam family "Bacterial small subunit ribosomal RNA", at positions 524 to 776 of the family's 1533-position model. The record is from RNAcentral.
UACGUAGGGGGCUAGCGUUGUCCGGAUUUAUUGGGCGUAAAGAGCGUGUAGGCGGCUAUGCAGGUCCGCUGUGAAAACUCGAGGCUCAACCUCGAGACGUCGGUGGAAACCGUAUGGCUAGAGUCCGGAAGAGGAGAGUGGAAUUCCCGGUGUAGCGGUGAAAUGCGCAGAUAUCGGGAAGAACACCCGUGGCGAAGGCGGCUCUCUGGGACGGUACUGACGCUGAGACGCGAAAGCGUGGGGAGCGAACAGG